CAGUCGCCGCGGUAAUGCGUAGGGGGCAAGCGUUGUCCGGAAUCAUUGGGCGUAAAGAGCGUGUAGGCUGCUCGGUAAGUCCGCUGUGAAAGUCCAGGGCUCAACCCUGGAAUGCCGGUGGAAACUGUCGAGCUAGAGUCCGGAAGAGGCGAGUGGAACUCCUGGUGUAGCGGUGAAAUGCGCAGAUAUCAGGAAGAACACCAAUGGCGAAGGCAGCUCGCUGGGACGGUACUGACGCUGAGACGCGAAAGCGUGGGGAGCAAACAGGAUUAGAUACCCGUGUAGUCCCUGUCUCUUAUAC
Molecule: ribosomal RNA, 301 nt
Filed under: uncultured bacterium
Lineage: Bacteria
Description: partial 16S ribosomal RNA
Rfam family: Bacterial small subunit ribosomal RNA
Source: RNAcentral